UACGUAGGGUGCUAGCGUUGUCCGGAUUUAUUGGGCGUAAAGGGAGCGUAGGCGGGUUAUCAAGUUGGAGGUGAAAGCCCAGGGCUCAACCUUGGAAUUGCCUUCAAAACUGAUAGCCUAGAGUAUGAUAGAGGUAAGUGGAACUCCGAGUGUAGAGGUGAAAUUCGUAGAUAUUCGGAAGAACACCAGUGGCGAAGGCGGCGACCUGGUCCUUGACUGACGCUGAGGCGCGAAAGCGUGGGGAGCAAACAGG
This 253-nucleotide ribosomal RNA is filed under the name uncultured bacterium. RNAcentral describes it as "partial 16S ribosomal RNA". It matches the Rfam family "Bacterial small subunit ribosomal RNA", at positions 524 to 776 of the family's 1533-position model. The record is from RNAcentral.